CAAUAGUGUAUAUUAAAGUUGUUGCAGUUAAAAAGCUCGUAGUUGGAUUUCUGGUGGGAGCGAUCGGUCUGGCGCUUAGCGCGAGUACUUGCAUCGUCUCCGGCCAUCCUUGGGGAGAGUCUGUCUGGCAUUAGGUUGUCGGGCAGAGGAUCCUCAUCGUUUACUGUGAAAAAAUUAGAGUGUUCAAAGCAGGCUUAUGCCGUUGAAUAUAUUAGCAUGGAAUAAUAAGAUAGGACUUUGGUACUAUUUUGUUGGUUUGCGCACCAAAGUAAUGAUUAAUAGGGACAGUUGGGGGUAUUCGUAUUCCGUUGUCAGAGGUGAAAUUCUUGGAUUUACGGAAGACGAACUACUGCGAAAGCAUUUACCAAGGAUGUUUNCAUUA
Molecule: ribosomal RNA, 382 nt
Filed under: uncultured eukaryote
Lineage: Eukaryota
Description: partial 18S ribosomal RNA
Rfam family: Eukaryotic small subunit ribosomal RNA
Source: RNAcentral